This 470-nucleotide ribosomal RNA is filed under the name uncultured Cephalothrix sp. RNAcentral's name for it is "bacterial SSU rRNA". It matches the Rfam family "Bacterial small subunit ribosomal RNA", at positions 28 to 541 of the family's 1533-position model. Lineage: Bacteria; Bacillati; Cyanobacteriota; Cyanophyceae; Aerosakkonematales; Aerosakkonemataceae. The record is from RNAcentral.
GACCAACGCUGGCGGUCUGCCCAACACAUGCAAGUUUAACGGGCGCAGCAAUGCGUUAGAGGCGGACGGGUGAGUAACACGUGAGAAUCUGCCAACGGGACGGGGAUAACAGGGGGAAACCGCUGCUAAGACCCGAUAAACCGAAAGGGGAAAAAGAAAUUGCCAGUUGAUGAGCUCGCGUCGGAUUAGCUAGUUGGUAGUGUAAGGGACUACCAAGGCGACGAUCCGUAGCCGGUCUGAGAGGACGAUCGGCCACACUGGGACUGAGACACGGCCCAGACUAUUACACGAGGCAGCAGUGGGGAAUUUUCCGCAAUGGGCGAAAGCCUGACGGAGCAAGACCGCGUGAGGGUGGAAGGCUCUUGGGUUGUAAACCUCUUUUCUCAAGGAAGAAGCAAUGACGGUACUUGAGGAAUCAGCAUCGGCUAACUCCGUGCCAGCAGCCGCGGUAAUACGGAGGAUGCCGGCGU